UACAGAGGCCUCGAGCGUUAGGCGGAAUCACUGGGCUUAAAGCGUGUGUAGGCGGAUUGGUAAGUACCUUGUGAAAUCCCACAGCUUAACUGUGGAACUGCUCGGUAUACUGCUGAUCUUGAGCCACUCAGGGGCUACCGGAACAAAUGGUGGAGCGGUGAAAUGCGUAGAUAUCAUUUGGAACGCCAAUGGUGAAAACAGGUAGCUGGGGGUGUGCUGACGCUGAGACACGAAAGCCAGGGGAGCGAACAGG
RNAcentral lists this ribosomal RNA (253 nucleotides) under uncultured bacterium. RNAcentral's name for it is "partial 16S ribosomal RNA". It matches the Rfam family "Bacterial small subunit ribosomal RNA", at positions 524 to 776 of the family's 1533-position model. The record is from RNAcentral.